Molecule: ribosomal RNA, 265 nt
Filed under: uncultured archaeon
Lineage: Archaea
Description: partial 16S ribosomal RNA
Rfam family: Archaeal small subunit ribosomal RNA
Source: RNAcentral
AGACGUCUACAUUAGACUACCCGGGUAGUCCCAGCCGUAAACUAUGCGCGUUAGGUGUAUCGGUGACCACGAGUUACCGAGGUGCCGAAGGGAACCGUGAAACGUGCCGCCUGGGAAGUACGGUCGCAAGGCUGAAACUUAAAGGAAUUGGCGGGGGAGCACCACAACAGGUGGAGCCUGCGGUUUAAUUGGACUCAACGCCGGGAAGCUCACCGGAUAGGACAGCAGAAUGAUUGCCGGGCUGAAGACCCUGCAUGACUAGCUG